UCAUAGGUUAUUUUUUGUUUGUAUAUAAAUUGGUAUGCAUGGAUAGAGUGUUUGUAUGUAAAUAGCAUGAGUGAGUGUAUAAAUAGUAAGUGCAAAAGAUAUGUGUACUAAGUUUGCAUGCAAAGUGUCAGGUUUUGAGUAUUUUGUAUCAAAUUGGGAAUGUGUGAGUUAAUGUAUGUAUAAAAAUGUGCAUGUAUGAGUUUAAAAGUAAGUUCGAAUUUUGGUUAUGACAAUGUUAAAAUAUCAGAAAGAGAGAAAGAGAGAUUUAUGAGGUGAUUCAGUUACCUGAGGCUAAAGCAAGUCGGGUAACUCUAGUUAGGUGACUGAGGAGCACAUGGGUGACUGAGAGGCACAUGGGUGAGAGAUAGCUGGGCAGUGAGAGUGUCUCACACAUUGGAUUUGAUGAAGUAGAAGGUCAAACAAAAUGUCAAUCUUCAAAAUUGAACGUCUUCACACAUAUUAGCAUGAGGAAUAAAAUUUGAGGAAUU
Long non-coding RNA from Haliotis rubra (blacklip abalone), 488 nucleotides. RefSeq lists it as uncharacterized. Lineage: Eukaryota; Metazoa; Mollusca; Gastropoda; Lepetellida; Haliotidae. The transcript is spliced from 2 exons. The record is from RefSeq and is a predicted model, not a curated record.